UGUGGCCCGGCCCAAGUUGGUUUCACAAUUAAUCUAGGUCAUUACCUUUUCCCAGCCUCCCUGUUCCUCUCGAUCUCUCUCACGCUGCCCACCGCCCCUCAACCUACCUGCAUCCCGGAGCGCCGCCCCUCACCACUCCCCUGCGAUCCUCCGUCUCGGAAGGCCGCCCCUCACCACUCCCCCUGCGAUUCUCCAUCCUGGCGCGCUGUCCCUAGUCAACUCUCCUCUGCGACCUUGCUUCCCGGUGCGCCGCCCCUCGUCACCGCUUCCCUACGACCUACUACGUCUACUACCUCCGCACGAGGGCCUGCGGCUACGGGCAGAGUUACCGCUACAACAACCCUCGCAAUCGCGCUGCCGUGGUGAGCCGGACCGCUUUUCUUCUCCAAUUUUAUUUUCCCCAUCUUGCUCUACUCGACUUCAGUCUAGUUGGGAAUUGCUACUUACGACUUGCUCGUCCCUGAUAAUGACCGAGAGGUUGAAUUAUAGAUGGUUGGUGCGGAGGGGAGCUUCUAGCUGAGGCCUCUUGCUGUGAUUGAAUUGAUUCUAGUUAUGGCUCAGGAGCUUGUCACCAGCCCAUGGAAGUGAAACUUGAUUGUGCAGUCGUUGGUUGUUGUCUUUGAUUAUGUGAUUGACUGAUUGUAUAAUAAGGCUUGUUGUCUUAGUCUCGUGGUUGAUGUUGAUGCUUCAAAGUUCCACUUUCUGCUUACGGUGCCACUUGCUUAUGUUGUAGGCCUGAUCACUCACGCCGUCAUAUGCUCAUAUUUCUUUCCGAGACUUCGGAGCAGCUCGGUCGACUAAGCCACUGUGACGCUGGGGGAGAAGGACAUCGGUGCAGAGCAUGGCAAGGCCGAGUACUUGUUGGAUCUUAGGGCUUCUGAUCCACAGUUCUCCGCAUCAUCAUCCAUCAGCAUCUGGUGACAUUAUUAGCACUCAGAGCUUCAUAAGGCUUUCUGCCCACUACAGUUGGAGUUCAAGAGCGUAAGGAAGGUAAUCUGGUGAUCAAUCACUGUUGCUUGUCAGAAAACUCUGAAAAUAUUAUUGAGUACAUCUACCAUGAGCUAUGCUUGCCAUUUUAAAAGAUGUUUAUGUGAGCUUCAUGUCAUAUCAAUUUUUUUUGAAGCAAGCAGAUCUUGGGAUUUACUUAUGAUUUAUGAACAGAAAAUGUUUACUGUGUAACCCCUAAAUACAGUAGAAGAGAUUAGAGAAGCAGGUCUUAUAAAACUACGCUGAGCGAGUAGUACUUAUUUAGUCAAGUGACAUGUUAGAUAAAAUUCUACACCUAUUACAACUUAUCUGACUUCUGUAUUUUGUAAAGAUAGCUGAACUAGAUUGUGUUCCAGGAAUAAAAAACCAUGGAUGUUUUCCAUUUAUUCACUUGGCUUUUGGAAUUUGAUUGAUGUCCCCUUUCUCAUAUUAUUAACAACAUAUACCUACACGGUUCUCUCUACUGGUUUGCCAAAUUCUAGACACUUCUUGUGUGGUCCAUGCUUCCUCUUUGUACUAUGCUUACCUACAUUCGUAAUAUCACUCCUUUAUUCCCUUGACGUGCUUUUCCUUUACAAAGAAGAAUACACACCAUGGGGAAAAGAGAAGUAAAUUUGUAUUUGUAGUCUACAAACAGGGCGUCCUAAUUAUUUGUUCGAGCAUGCUACAGUCUUGUUUUCUCUGCCGUGUCUUCUCCUUUUCUUAGUAGUGUCACUACUGAUUGAUCUGCUCAGAUGUGCUAUUUAGAGUUUGAUCUGGAUAUAUACUAGCUAUUUUAUUAGGAGUUGGUGGUAAAGAUGAACUAAUGGUCGAUCCUCCCUGCUGUCCUCGCUGCACUUCAUGCAAAAUCACUGGGCCGGUACUGGGAGUACCUCAUUUAUGAUGGAUCUUAUACUUCAAAGCUUAUUUAUAUUGUCUAAUAUGUUUUAUUUGUACUAAUUUAGUAAAUUUAAUUUAUCUUUUGGCUUAAUAUGUCCAAGGUAUUGAUAUAGUAAUAUUUUGUUACCUGAUUAAAGCUCAAACAUACUGCUUCAGUAUCUCCCAGUAGGUGCCUCAGAAUUAUGCAGUUGAUCGUACCAUACUGCUACUUGAAUAAAAAUGUUUAUCUUUGUGUUCUACACUGAAGCUAUCAUAUGAAGUUUAAUUAUUUUAAGCGUUCAUCACCAAAACUACUUUGUUGGUAGUGAAAGGCUUCAUAGAAUUUCAUAGAUGUUGCACAUCAUGAGAUUAACCCGUAGAAGAAUGUAUUCAUAACCAUAUGACGUGUGUGAUGUUGGGUUAUAGCCGUUGUAUGCUGAAAGGCUUUUUCCCUUGCUUCCUUCCAUUUUCUUCUAUGUGCAUUGACUAGACGUAUGUUUUUACAAUGUGGCAUGGUUUGAGCAUUUUAAAUUCUUUACACGCUUCCAUUAUUUCCCGCCCCAUUUAUAUUGGUAUGUCCUUUAAAUAGCAGGCAGGUACAUGUGUGAUGGCACAAUAUAACUCAGUGUUAGCUGGCUUAUAAUCUCUUAUCCCUUGAAAGACUUCAAAGAUGGCAUCUCAUGGGACAACACAAGAGACCAUAUAGUAAAGGAAAAGAUGCAAACACGAUAGGCAGGACCAAAAGUAUUUUUAAUGAGCCUGAAAAAUCAUAACAGAGACUGGUAUUGCUACAAUUGUAAGUUGUGAUCCUAAAUCUGAGCUUGAUGGUGCUGAAAUUACUAAUGAAUUGUAGGUAGUGCAUGUCGAUAUGGCACUUGUGAAAACUAAAUAUUUGGUAUGGAGUCGCAAAAACUGUAAUACUCUUGGUAAUGCAGAAUUUUUUUGCAUGGCAACCUUUAUUCAAAAGAUAAAUGGAUGAUUAUAUGGGUGUGUGGGCAAGCAUACUACUAUGAUGACGAUGAUGUUUGUGUUCAUGAUGAUGGAGACGGAUGCUUUCAGUUUUAGUAAAGUUGUAGGGAUGAUGUUCCUGUUGGACGAUGUUCCUCAAUUAUGUUUUAGUUAAUCUGUAGGGAUGUUGAUGCAUGCUUUCAAUUUAAGUUUCACCAUCAAGAGAACAUUUAUAUUAUACUCCCUCC
Aegilops tauschii subsp. strangulata is the source of this 3041-nucleotide non-coding RNA. The record is from RefSeq and is a predicted model, not a curated record. NCBI's taxonomy places the organism in Eukaryota, Viridiplantae, Streptophyta, Magnoliopsida, Poales, Poaceae.